UCUUACUAUGGAUCACUUCAGUAGAUCCUACCUCACCAAGGAGAACAGCACUAAUGCCGAUGCCUAAAGAUUCCAUGCAUGGUUCUCAGGAACUUCCAGGGGCUUCCGCACACCAGGGAGAAUGGACUCCUUUGAGUUUUGACUGCCGUAGGCUCCAAGGGAAAGGUGUGGGAAUUGGCUGUCUGCCUCAAGCUGGUUCCAGGCUGUUCAGUCCCCGGUCACUCUCAUCGUCUCUCCUUAACAUUAAUCCUAGGACAAGUUACUCAAAGGGUUGGGUGGAUGCCCCCCGUAGGACCCAAGAUUAAAUAACACUGAAUUACUUAGUGAGAAGGUUGUUCUCUUUUCAACUUUAUUUCAAUCCAUCUGAUUACCCAUAGGGAAAAAUCUGAGGUUGGUGCUAGAAUGUCUUCAACACCUUUUUAAUACUUGCCUAUCACACUUUUUUGCCGAGAGUGCGCAGGUCUCAGGUUCAUAGCCAUGGGGAAGCAACAAUACAUUCCAGCCAGAACGUAAUCAUUUUCAUUUUUUAUUGAAGCCUUUUUAACUUUUAAAGUUGGUCCCAUAAUAUAUUUACUGUAAGUUUUGCGGGUUUCCAUUUUCAAAAGUGAUAUUGCCUGUUUUGUAUAAAUGUUUUAAGUUUUAAAAGUGCAUUGAUUUAGAGAUAAAGAAAUAAGUAAAUAAUUGUGUAGACGGUGUGGGGAGUUUCACAGAAACCGUGAAGGUGGUGAACGAAUGAUUGAGGUAAGGGAAGCAGUGCUCCAAGGAAUCAGCUCCCUUUCCUUUCUCAAGGGCAUGAGGUCUCUCCAAGCCACAUCCCUCCUCCCUCGCUCACCCUGUUCUCUGCCAUACCUCCCUGUACGUUAUCUUCACUUUCAUUCUAAAAAUAAUCGUAGAGCCUCUUGGAGGUCUUUGACUACACCAAUCAUGCAUUCAUUUUCUGAACGUAACUCCCAGGAAAAAUCUGCUUGGUUUAAGUUGUAAAAUGCCUCAAAUGCUUUAAGGGAAAAGAAUACGAAGUCUUUCUCAGAAAAAGUUUUCGUCUACCAUCCAAGCAUGUUGCCCAGGAAAUGGAAAUAAAGAGCAAGCUACAAACUGAACAUUUUCAAUGAGUGAGAGGAGAGGUUUGCCAUGCAAGAUUUAAAAGGUGCUAGAGUGGAGAGAGCAACAGAAGAACUGUCUGGGAGUCUACCUAGACAGACUGUCUCCUCUUCUCAUCCUUAGCCUCUUUUCAUAGCUUCAAAUGCUCUCGUGGAUUUUAAGUUCAUUUCUGUGACACCACCAUCCUCUACCUUUUUCAUGAUCAUGCUCUCUAGAUAGAUAGAUAGAUAGAUAGAUAGAUAGAUAGAUAGAUAAAUUUCCAUCUUGAUAUCUCAAAGGCACCUCAAACUCACCAUACACCCAAAACACAUUCCUUAUUUUCCCCCACAAAAUUUUCUUCCUCUAUUUCUUACUUUGUUCAAUGCUGUUAACCAUGAUUCCAUAAAGACACUAGGGUCCCCAUUGCCUCACUUGUCUCCUUCAUAACACACAUCAACAAUUCUCCCUGCUAAAUCCAGCCCCUUAGCUUCAUCCCCUCUGUCUCUGGUUAGUAAGGGCCUCAUCAUUUGUCACUUGAAUGCUAACAGGUCUUUUUGCCAUAGGUCCUUUUUGCCCCAUCCCAAGUGAUCUUCCACACAGAUUGCUAAAUUGCCUGAAAAGUAGAAUCUGACCAAGUCUCUCCCCUGCUAAGCAAUCUGGUCCUGGUCCCUCUUGUUUCCUUUAGCUAAUUUUUCCAGGCCCUUUGAACAUGAUACUCACCUUCUUACCUACUGGGUCUCCUAUUUCUCCCCACCCACAGGGAACUACUCAGCUGGCUUCAAAUACUGAGUGUUCUAUCAAGUCUUCGUGCCUUUGCAUGAGUUCCCUCACUUUCCAGAAUGCUUUUUCUGUCCUGCUGUGUCUGGAAAUUUCCUAGCCUUGCAGCUUAAAAGCCAGUUCCUCUGGAUAACACUCCUUCCUGAGAAGGACCCCCAUGGCAUGCACAUUCCUCUGCUCUGCCAUUUAUCCUUUUGCAUUAUAACGCAGUGUGUUUGAGUUUCUUUCCUUCAGCAAAUGGCUAAUAUCUCAAAGUCAUGGGCCAGUGUCUAAUGCAUAGCUGGUGCUCAAAGAUUCUUGUCAAAGAAGAAAUCAUAUAUUGACUGAGGGAGGAAUGAAAAGCAGUGAUGGGCUUGAGACAGCCAUUUAGAUUGCCCAAAAGUAAAGUCAUUGUUAGCAUUUGUGUGUGCCUCUACCCCUGACUGGGGAAAUGGAGGGUCUUAACUAAUCAAAUGUUCUUAUUAGGGAAGGAAGGCUUCCAUGCAGCAGGUCCUCAGCAGACGUUUUUGAACUGAAUCAAACAGUAACCAAAUGUAGUACAUGGAUUAUCAAUUUUCAAAUAUGGUCAUACUUCACCUAAGACGCUUAAGAUGGGGUUACCUUCGGAGAAAUGUGUACUUGGGUGAUUUUGUCAUUGUACAAAUAUCCGAGUGUACUUACACAAACCAAAUGGUGUAGCCUACUACAUACCUAGGCUAUAUGGCAUUAAUCUUGUGGGACCACCGUGCUUUAUGUAGUCCUUUGUUGAUCGAGGCAUCGUUAUGCCAUGCAUAACUGUACCUGGAACAUUGCAUACUCUCAACAAGAUGGAACCUAAUCAAAUCUUCUUUUGAUGACUCAGAGACCUUGUUGCAAUUUCACAGGACAUUGAGAUCCUCGUUCAUCACGGUCAUCCAACAUUACUGCCCAGCACUUCUGUACCGGCUGUGAUUUGAAAGGCAAAAUUUGAUUUGUGGAAAACCACAAACUCUCCCCAGGUUAAAAUAUCUCCCUUCUUAGUAUCUGAACUGCCCCAAUGAUCUCUUUAGAGGAGGAGAUUAAAGCAUUAGAUCUGCAGGUUCUCCUGGUAAAACAGCAAAAUCCAGUGUGGCAGGCAGGAUAAUGGCCCCUUAAGACACCCGUAUUCUAAUUCCUGGACCCUGUGAAUAUGUUACCUUCUAUGGCAAAAGGGACUUUGCAGAUGUGAUUAAGUUAAGGAUCUGGGACAGGGUGAGUAGCCUAGAUGGUCCAGGUGGGCCCAUGUAAUCAUAAGGAUCCUUAUAACGGAAAGAGAGAGGCAGGAGAGGCAGAGGCAGAGUCAGAGUAGGAGAUGGGACAACAGAAGCAAAGGUUGGAGUGACGUGGUCACAAGCCAAGGAAUGUGGGCGGCCUCUAAAAGCUAGAAAAGGCAAGGGAAGGAUUCUCUCAUAGAGCUUCCAGAGGGAACACAAUUCUGCUGACACCUUGGUUUAUAGUUCUGGAGGACUUCUGGCCUCCAGAACUCUAAGAAUAAAAUUUGUGUUGUUUUAAACCACUAAAUUUGUGGUAAUUUAUUUAAGCAAUAAUAGGAAAGUAAUGCACCCAGAUUAAACCCUUAUAAUUCAUAAACUACUCACAUCUGAUUGGAUGUCAGUUUAUUUGACUAUUGGAUGAUUUUUAAAACUAUGACAGCUGGGUGAGGGCAGGAAUCCGUUGGGAUGAAAAUCAGGGAAAGGAAAUCAGAAGAGAGCUACCACUUCCUGAGUGUUCGUUGUUACAAAAAUACCUUUUGUUUUCACGUUUACUCCUCACAACCAUGUGAGAGAGAGAAAAAUACUCCCAUUUUACAGAUGAGGCAACUGAGGCUCAGGCACUUGCACAAUAUUCAGAUUAGACAAUUGUGACCGAGAGAGUGAGGCACUUGCACAAUUAUUCUGAAACUAAUAAGUGGUAGUGACAAGACUGGAACUCAGUUCUCUCCACUUGCUAGCCAGAUCCCACAGCACGCGGCCUUCAGAGGCCAGCCCUGCCUGAGGGGUGUUAAGGCUCAGCGGAUGUUAUAUGGCUAAAUUCUCUUCAGCCAAGGGCAUCGUGAGGGUGUGUGUUUAAGAUGCAGGCCCUCAACAGUGUUCUCACAGUGUGAUGCUGGACCAUUUGCAUGACUCUCCUGGGUAUCUAUGAAUACUAGCUGCUGGCCUUCACCCCCAAACCUGCUGGAUCAGAGGGCUGGGGUGGAGGACAGGAAUCUGCAGUUACAGCAAGCUCUCUGGGAAAGUCUGAUCUCAAUGAAGCUCGAGAAACAGUCAAUGAGGUAAAAUCAGGGUCUCGAAAGGAGGAGGUGGCAGUGGAUUUACUAGAGACUUCUGUGACAACCAGCCUGCGUGACCAUGAAUAGAAAAUUCUUGCUAAUAAAAUAUCCCAGAAAGUAGGUUUUGUUUUAAAUGCAUCAUUGGAAAGAUGAUUUACCUUUCUGCUUGGCUUGAAUUAUAGGGUAGAGGGUCGUACACAGACCUAACUAGGGGUACAGGUGAGAGGGCGGCAAAUGGAAAGGGAAGAGGAGAGAGAGGGACUUGCUUAUGGAGUAAGCAUAUCUUCUGAUGCCUCCUGUUUCCAAUGAGAAGAGAAAAUGAGUCUCAGUCAGUCUACUCUGGGGAGCCCGGGCUUGCAUUAUGCAGUACUUAGGGGAUUCACCUUUAGCCUCUCUUUCCUCCCACACCUCCCAGCUCCUGGGCCUCUUCUGAGAUCAGGCACAGAAUGUCAAUCCCUGCUGACAUUCCUCUUCCAAAUAAGGUUAAAACCAAUGAAAGGCCAAUUAUGCCCCCAGGCCAAGAGCCCAAAGGCUGAGAACUGUCCUCUGGUGAGUCCUGGAAGAGCAAUUACAAACACCUGACAGGGUGGGCGUGCAAAGUGCUGCCUAGCACCCCACUUCAGGACAGGGGUGUCGUCACCCCAUGCGCCGGAACCAGAUAAUACGCAUGAAGCUGAAUACUGGAAUUCUCUACCACCAUCCUCUCAUUUCCUUAUACUCCAGGGACCAAGGGCUGCUUUCUCAUCAUAUUGAUGCCUCCAUUGUUACAACUCCUUCUGAAGUAGACAGGGAAGAAGUUAUGGAUAUUCAAGAGAAAAUUCGCUGCUAGGUGCUCCCUUUGUACCCAGCAUCCAGCAUUCUCAUGCCGGUGUCCCCCCCAUAUCCCCCCACACACAGUUUUGAUAUUCAGAACUUAUGAUAAGGAGUUUCUCAGGAACACAGGCCAGCCUUAUAGCUGCAUGCCCUGCAGGAGAAAAGCCAGGCCUUCACCUUACCGAGAAAAGUGGCUCUGGAAAGCUACCUGAGUUGCUGGGUGGUGCUGAGAGCCUUCCUUGAGUUUCCUUCUAUGGUUAAGCUUUUUGUCCACUGGGUCUUGGCCUCACUUGCCACUUAAAGCUAUUAUCUAACCAGAGGAAAAGGUACUUCACUAGAAAUGCAAUAUGCACCCAGGCUGUGGGUUUAGCAACCAACUUUCCACUUAAAUUAUUUGGUGUUUUUCUUUUGUCUGUCUAUGAUGCUCUCCCAGCAUGGAGCCAGGUGAACUGUGAGGGCCUUGUCUUCCAGCCACAGGCUUCUCUCUAGCCAGCAAUGAAGUCUGCAGUGAAAAAUAAUUACAAAGUACACAGCAUUUCUGGUCUUUCUAGUAAUUACAGAUGCAUCUGCAGCUCUCAUCACAUUUCAAUAUGGACUGAGCAGGAUUCACUUCAAAGGUUGGAAUGAGAACAUUAUGGCUAUACCAUUCAGCAUCCCCAAACAACUGCCACCAAACAUAGCUCAAGCUGUCUCUAUGGGAAAUAGGCAUAAAGUGUGGGCACAUAUGGAAAUUUCUCUGAGCUUCGACAGGUUGAUCCCCAAGACUUUUGCCUCUAAUCCCUGUCUCUCUUGGCAGCCUUAUCCCUUUCUUCUUCUCCUGAGAGUGGAAGGGAAAAGAGAUAGGAUUUACAGUAUCAGCAAUUUAUCUGCAAUAAAAAUGAAAUCUAUUACAAUGCAUUAAUAGCUCAAGAGGCUGAAAUAUGCCAUAAAUAUAAAAUCAAGCAAGUUGAGAAUUUCACAGGAAUAACAAAUGGAUGGCUGCUGGCAUGGAGACCACUGUUGACCACAGAAUGACCCAAUCUUUAUUUCCCUGUCAAUUUAAUGCAACAGUCAUUUCCAUUUGUUAGACCACACACUGUCCCAAGCAUCUUGCUAAACACUGUACAGGUUUCAUCUCAUUUCAGACUCCCAAGAACCCUAAAAUAUGAGUAUGGUCAUUAUUCCCAUUUUACAGACGAGGAAACUGAGACUCAGAGAGAUUAUGUAAUUUGUCCAAGAUCUAACAGAGCCAGGGCUUAAACUGGUCCUGCUUUCAGAGAGAUUUUCCUGUCCCUUGCCCUCUUACCUUUCGACCUUGCAUAAUGAGUGAAAGUAUGUGUUAAAGUUCUCUUAGAUGAGCUACACUUUCUGAGGGCUUGACAUGAAGACCUUCUCAAUACAGAGCCAGAGAACAGAGAGCACAGAUUUCUUUCUCAGAUAGUGAUCAGCAAUGAAGAUUUCUGCAGCUUGGCCUGCUUAUUUAUGUGCCAAGAAGAGAACCUCCGAUUCUCUGAGGACUUGUCAGCAGACAGAUGCUCUAGGAGGAGGGGUACACUUGCCAACUUGAAAUGGCUGCAAGUUGUGAAGCUUAAAAUUAUACCCUAUAAAUAAUGGACAAACUGGUCAUUAGGAGACAAUUUCAGGAAAAACAUCCCUUCCAGGCUUGGGGAAGAAAAAACAAACUAACUAAAGCUUCUGCUUUCCUAGACUGUAAUUCUUCCCCAAAGAUACUAUCCAAGGUGGCAUGAUUUAUCCGAGUGGACAAGGAAUCAAACUACCCUUGCUGAUUCUAUUGAUCCUUACAGCUAAUUCUUUAGAGAAGAAAGUUGUAGGAGGUCAAUAAAUCUGUGGAGUCCUUGGGUUCUAUGGGGAGAGGGGCCACAGAAAUGCUCCAACAGAGAUGGAGAAGAGAUGGAGAGUGAUUCGGAAGAUAUUUCAUCUUCAUGGAGAAGCCCUGCAUCAUGAAUUUCUCAGCCAACUUUCUUGGAGUGUAUGGUUUAUGGCAGUGGCUCACCACUAUGUCUCUUUAUAAAAGAGCAAGACCCACCUGCUAAGAAGCAAGUGCAGAGGGCCCACAGCAGACCACAGCAGCCUACACCAGACCCCAGAUCGCUGAGCCCAGAUAUUACCUUGAAUAAGCUGCCUCCUAAGGGGGUGCCCAUCUUCUCUGGGCAUCCAGCCUCCCUGUCAGAACUGCCCUGCAAUCUAGACACACUAUUGCAGGGUGGGCUAGUCAGCUGGGUCAUAAAGGGUCCUCCAUGCAGCCUGACUCCAGGUUGGGUCUGGCUCCACAGGGGGCUGCGAGGUCAUUUAGGCACACCAGGCCUUGGUCACCACCACCUCAAAAACCCCACUCCACACAUAUUUUGCAAUUAGGAUCUCACACAGAUAAAGACUACUGUGUUCUUCCUGUGCAGUAUAGCUUAGUGUCGAGGCUGUGGAGUCAGACAAUCUAGGCUCAAAGCCUGGCUCUGUCACUUACUAGAAUGUGCUCUUGGCAGAAUAUUUACCCUCUCUUUGGCCCAGUUUCCUCAUUUGUGAAAUGAAGAUAAUACUUUCUAUCUCUUGGGGCUGUGAGAAUUACAGGAGAUGCGUGAAAACUCAUAAACUGGUAGUGUAGUAUCUAUAGUAGAGAUUUCACUCCAUAAAUGAUAGUCCGCUUCCUCCUUUGUCUUCAUAUUCUAAUGAUGAUUAUUAUUACUCAUUUAAAUUACUAUGUGCCCUAACUUAACAUGGUCCAGGUACUCUCCGGUUCUUUCUUUCUUCUUCUUAGAGUAAGACCCUGGUACCAGCCAGGCCCUGGGCUAAAACAUUUAAUCUCUCAUUAGGAAAAACAAAGGACCAGGAGUUAGGAAACCAGGUUUGGAUUCUGAUCAUGACUCAUGGUAUGACUUCCUUUUGCCAACUUGCUUGUCUGUUCAAUGGGGAUAACAACUUUCCCAUCUUCCUGGGCCAUCACGAGGAUAAAAUGAAAACACAGGUCUGAAGAGUUUGCAAAUUUGAAAGUGCUAUAUAAAAGUAAGAGGGUUCUAUUGUUUGUUUGUUUCUAUAGAAACUUUUUUCUCCUUUUGGCUUACCCAGCUUCAGUUUGCCCAGCCAAGAUACUGCAUCCAGAACCUGCUCUGUUAUUUGCUUAUGUAUUUAUCUACUUUUUGCUUCUCACUGUUUCUUCUUCUCGACAACCCACAACUUAGGCUUCUUACCGUUUCCAAUUACCUAGAAAAACAUCCUUCUGCUUUUCACCUAGCACGAUGGCUGGAGCAUUGAUCUGCCAGCUAGAUUAGUGAGGUGUCCUCACGAGGGAAACCUGAAAGCUCUCUUCCAUUCCUGGUUUACACACACUCACUUUCUAAAUGCAAAGUGGCACCAUGUUCAGACAUCUUGGAUGUGAAGGGCUCUAAGGCUCCCCAGAUAGUGAGCUGGGCACCCCUGAACUACGUGUCAGGUAGUCCAUUCAUCCUCAGGGGACCAACCUCACAGCCCUUGAAUACUCUGGACUAUCUCAAUGGCUCUAGACCUGAAUCCCGUGUUGCAACAAUUCCUUGACCACCAUUUGCCCCUCACUGUGAGCCAGAGCUCGGCAUAAACUAAGCACUCAGCAAUCCUGAUUAUGAAGAGUCAAGAGAUUAAGAGGAAGGAGAGAAGGAGAGGUGAGGUUGGAAAAGUUACCGGUAUUCUACCUGGAUACCAAACCCAAGGCAGAGAGUCAUUCCCCAGAACCUACAAACAACCCUCUGCUAAGAAUGGACUUAAAGUCUCACUGAAUAGACAACAUAGGCCCCUUUUCAAGAGGUGGCUGAAUAUAGUGUGGGUUGGCUAAGCAGGAAGUUGAGGAUUAGUUCCUCUUCUCUACCCAGCCAUGAGAUGAAGCACAGAUGAGCGAGGGCACUGGCCCCUGCCCAUUUAUAAGGCAGCUCCUGCCAAAACAAAAUAUACUCUCUGUUCUCCCCUCCAAACUAAACAGUAGUUUGUCAAAUGGAUGAAUAAGAAGAAAAGUGACAAUUUUCCUUUAUGUUAAUAAAUUGCUUUGGGCUAAAAAACAUUAAUCAAUUUCUUUCCAAAGUACACAUGCUUCUCUAUACUCUGCUAUUUGCCUGGCCUUCAAAAGAAAGUCACUUUCAAUCCCCUUUUAAUUGUCAAGAUCAGUGGGGGCAGUUGCAAGAGUGGGGUGAGGAGCUCCCUCACUCCCAAUGAUUAUAAUGGAACCCUGUGGAGUUUCCAUAGAAACAUAAAGAGUGUAUUCUUCCCUGAAUGUGCGUGGAGGGGAGGAGUGAACAGUGAUGUUGCUGGCAAGGUGUACAAUUACUGAAGAGCUGAAGUGUAGAGUAUGAUUUUCGGCAGCAGGAAGGCAGGUUCCAUGAAGUUCUACAGAGUAUGGAGGAAGCGGAACCAGUUGAGGAGGCAUCUCCCCCACCAAAGUCCCCAGCAGAACCCCCGGUUCCUGAGAAACAGGACUUAAGGCGGAAAACCAAGAAGGUGAAGAAGAAAUGCUUCUGGUGGAUCUGAGCUGGCUGAGACCCUUCCCUCUGCCCUCCCCACAUACCUCCCUGAGGUGGGGAAACCACUGCCCUCAGGCCUUCUCUGCUUCUUAGCAAAGGCCCCAGGCUGUGGGCCUCUUGACCUGCGACCUGAGAAAUGGGAAAGCCACUGCAGGACACCUGACCACCAACCUCACCUGAGUGAGCACCAUUGCUUGCUGAGGACUUCACAGACCCUAGAGUGACCACUUGCCUAGUUCCUUGUCACACUCAACCAGGCCACAUCCUGGUUUGCGAGUCUGGAUUCCUACCAUGAGCAAAGCCUCCUUCGCACUUUCCAAUACCUCUGUGAUGCUAAGUGCUUCCUUUCCAUCCUGAGUUCAUCAUCCCAAAAGAAAGAAGAAAAAUGUUGUGCAGAGCAGAAAGCUAGAGUAGGGUUAUAAGCAGAAACUACAGAAAAAAUUAGAUACAUAAACUGGCAGUUUUCUAAGAUAUUGGCAUACACAAGCACAAGAGAAGUGGACAGGGCAUAAACAUGCAAGAUCACCUGGUGGGUUGGGUCAUUUUCAUGUUUAACUAGCCCCUUGGUCCAAAAUCAAGGAUUUGUCAUUGCAUGUUGUGUGGGCCUUGCAGUCCAUGGCAGAGUGAUGUCACCGCAGGGUACAAGGAACUUGUUGGUGUGACUACCCUGCAGUUGUAGCUGCUCCAGGGCCCACUUAAACCAUCACGCUUCUCAGCCUGGGCCUGGGACCGCCUGACAAAUGGGUGAGAUCUGGUUUGAGUUUGAGCUUUAAGAUUCCACAGUUAAUUUCACUGCAACAUUUAAGAUCAUGAGAUCCAGGAUCCUGUCUGUCUGUUUCAUCUCACCAGUAACAUAAAUAAGACUAAGAUAAAACACAACACUGGUUCUUGUCCAUUCAUCCUUGCAACAGUCUUGUAGAUUGGUUCAAAAGUAUAUGAGUCUACACAAUCGCCCUUCCUGGUGACCGGGCAAUGGUCACCUGACUGGAGAAGGAGGACGAGAGAUGAGGAUAUAUUUCUUUCCAUUUUAGUAUUAAAGACCUCUCCUUCCCAAAGUCUCAAUUCCUUUAAAGUCUGGCUCACUCUUUUGACAAGACUUCCAUACAUGUGGGUCCAGUCAAACUUGCACGGCUGAGCAAACUACCAAAGUAAUAUAAUUAAGUAAUUGCUACAUACUCUUGGGGAUGAGAGGUUGGUUGGUAAGGCUCAUAUUCCUUCUCGUUAAGUUCUCUACCAGCCUGUGCUUGGAGUGAUGCUGCUUAGAAAAGGGAUCCCCCGGCUCAACAUGCAUUCAGGGAAGAAGGCAUUUCAUAAUCCCCUUUGCUGAAGAUCGGGUGUCUGAGUUAGCGUCUUUGCAGAGCGCAGCAUCCUAGGUGAACGUGGGAUGUACGUACCCCACUGCAAAUUGAGACUAAUUGAGCAAACCACUCCAGCAGUUGCACCCUCCCCUGUCACAGCGCUGCAGUGCGCAAAGCUAUUUCAGCGAGAGGGAGAGGGACAUUUGGCAAGGAAUCUCGGCUUGCACUAUUUAAGUCUUGGAAUGUCAUUCAAGAUGUUCUUGUUCCGUUUCUAGUGUAAUGUUUAAACCCACAAAAUGGGACCGGAAUCCAUAAUGUUAAGUUAGAAUUAAGAUAAAUACACUUGUCAUACUUAAGAAGCCACAUUUUAAUAAGAUAUGCUACUACUGGCUAACAGCCACAGAUCUUUCUGUACCCAUACAAUCAGCUCUCAGCUGGCCCCAACAAUGGAAAAGAAGAGCACAGAGCAUAAUCCAAUACAGCAAAAUCAUUUGGGAUCUCUCAUACAAUUUUAUCUUGUAGUAAAGCUUCCAUCUUAAUUUGCUUUGCUUACGCUAAUUUUCAAAUUAAUUUGUAUUCUCGGGCAGCACACUACAAUCAAAACAAUCCUGUUCCUGGAAUUAAGAGACCCAGGCAACAGAACAAUCUAUUUCACUAACCUUGAGCAAAUUACUUAAAUUUUCAGGGCCUGUUUCGUCCAUUCUUGAAAGGAGAUAUAAACACCUACUCUACCUACUUUAUAAGUUCUGUGCAUGUUCCAACAUCAAAUGAGCAGAAUGACCCAGAGCCGAGCUGGGUCAUUUGCCAAAGUUAGCCUGGAAUGAUGAAGAGGUGUCUGGGGUAACUCACACAAACAGGAUAAUCCAGCCCCUGGAUAAUUAAGACAUCUAUGUUGCCAUAGAUUUAUAUUGAUACUGAAUUAAAUAAAAUCGGGAUUGGAAAUUGUUGACAUUUCUAGAAAUAAAGCCAAACUAGGCUAUAAUGAUUCUAUACCAAAGCACAACACAGCAUUGCUCAGGCCACGGACCUGAACCUGGGAAGGAGGUCUCUUCUGAAAACAGAACCUUUAAAAUCGUUAGGAGGGAAAUGAAUUCAGUAAACACCUUCCUGCUAAACAAAAACAACCAUCUCUAUGUUUGAAAACAAACAAGCAAACAUAUAUACAUAUACCAAAACUCUAUACUCAUCUACUCGUGUGCAAAUCGCUUCUUUGUAAAAUAUUAUGUAACAUCUACCGUGAUAGUAUACAGAAAUGCUGUACUUGAGGUUAUACGGUUUUAUGGAGAGAUAUUAAUUUAGCAAAAAUUACUUUUAUAAAAUUGAAAGGAAAAAGACUAAUACAUCAACUUAAGUUGCAGGAGUUUAUGUAGCUGCUUUCUCUGUAGUUAAAAAAAAAAUGCAUACUCACUAUACUUGCAACUGAAUACCAGCUCAUCUGUGGAGCACCUUCUUAAAAACUAUGUACUGAUGUAAGGUUUUGUAAAUUUCUAAAAUGUUUUAAAUGGGAUAUUAUCUUUUGCAAUAAACUUAAAUAUUUUUCCUAGGUUUUAAGACUCUAUUACUAGCUUGGGUGGAUUUGGGUUGUAAAAUUUAAACUUAAGAAUGAUCCUCCGUGGUCCUAAUGACAGCAACAGUUGUCAUUAUAAUGGCCUCUAUAUGUUUCCCAAGGAAAUAAAUAAGCAAAGAACAGAUUCAGAACUCAGCGCCACAAUGAUCCCACGAAGGCCCACGUGUCCUGGGAGCAGGGGAGGCUGUGUGAAUCAGGGGAGCAGCUCGCAGCCUCAUGCAGGUGGAUGCACAGUUAUUAUCUACAGCAUUAUUCUGCCCUUACGCCUGAACUAUAAUUUUUCAAUAUUUUUCUUUAAUUAUUUUUCCCAUAAUUUUCUUCCUUAAAAGGCAACUUUAUAUCACCACCAUGAGGAAAACCAAUAUGAGGUUCCAAAAAUGGAAGAUGAAAUCAAAAUAAUUUUAUUAAAUUCUUGCUAGAGACUGCGGAGUGUUGAAGGCGCUAAGUCUGAGUCCAGCUCUCUUUGUUAAAAAGGGAAAUUAGCAAAUAUUCAACACAUGCUAAAGCCCCUUGGACACCAAACACAUUUUCUACUUGACUAACUGAGAUGUUUGAGAGAGAACUGAAAAGAAAACAACUUUCCCAUCGUGUGUUUCAAAUUUCUUUCCUACACUGUCCAUGAGCCCUCUAAAACCAGCUUGUUUACCAAUUUAGAGGGGAAAAACAGCUGGACAAAGAAUCAGAAGUCUUGAGUUUGAUAUUAUUCCGCUACCUUUUUUUUGCUGGGUGACCUCGGGAAAGUUAACCUCUGAGCGCCUCUGAUUCCUUUUCAUAUAAACCUUGCCUCACAAGGGAGUCCUGGUAAUUAAGUGGGAGAAAGUCAUGAGUACAAUAUAGGGUACGCAACAGGUGCUCAAUAAAUGCAUGUUCAUUCAUUUGUUGAUUGAAGUUAAUUGGGAGAGAGGUCAGAAGACGCCUUCAUGGGGCUGCAGUGGGUUUUCAGAAACAGGCUUAAAAUUUUCUCAGGGGAAAAAGCAGUGUUGAUAAGCAAUGCACUCCUCCUGGCCUUAUUAAGACUGGAAACCAUGACAAUGAACCUUAAGUAACAAAGUCCUCAGUGACCUGGGAGAAUUCACAGGCAUAGAAAGCACAGCAUAGCACUCUGGGGAAUGAAGGGUUCUUGACGCAUGGAAUCAAAUAUCCGAGAAGUGAAAGACUCUGCAAGAAGCCGGUCCCUGCUAUUUUAAGCAUAUGGCAAUUAAGGAAGGCUUGAUCCCAGGGUUUGCAGCAAUCACGCGGGUUAGUGAGCGUCGGGAGCAAUGUAGUCGGGGGUGGAAUGAGUGAGGGCCUACUGGACAUCACGGCUCAGGGCAGUUCCGGGAACCACUGACACUAGACUUGAGACCCAUUCUGAGCUCCAGGUAGUUUCUUCAUUAGCUGAGCAGAGGCCUUAAUAUAGCCAUUGCUUGAAAAGUCUCUCAUUUUAAGCUGCUUGAGGCAACUUGCUGUUUGCUAAAAACAUAUUUCUUUUUUUAAGUUCCAAGAAACAUAGAUGUUUAAUGAUUAUAAUGCCAAUCAAGCGUGGCUCACAAUAAAAAGAGCUGAGGGACAAAUCCAUACCCAACGCUGUUAAAGUUUGGCUCAAACCAUGUCUGACCGGCUUAAUGGUCAUAACCCCCUCUUUGGGAACUUUCAUCUAAACUUCCUCCCCAUCUUCUUUCAACCAAUUAACAGCCUGAACACCUGUUGAUCAUGUCUACCACCCCACUCCUGUGGUUUCCCAAAUCUAUGAUUUCCUUCUGCCUCCUACAGGACCCUGAGUCCAUGGAGAGCAAACCGAGAGCUUGGUUUCCUCAUCGCCCAACUAAGUCAGGUUCCAAGGUAGGCGUGCCUCUCCCCUACUGGCAUGCUGUUCCAAACCCCCUUCUCCCUCAGCCGGCCCCCACAGAGGCGUCCUGUCUGGUCUCCUCACAUGCACUCUCUUUCCCUUCCAGCACAUUCUCCAAGCAGCAGUGAAGCAAUCAUUGCAAAAUUUAGCUCUGAAUCAUGUCACACUCUGACUGAAAACUAUUCAAGGGCUUCCCAAUAAACUUAGGAAGUAAGACCAGGUCUGUCGCUAAGGCCCAGAAGGCCCUGCAGGCCUCUCCUGUGGAAGCUCUCGUCACAGGCCCGGGCGCUGUUGCUCUCCAGUCACACUGAGCCACCCUGAGUUCCUCAGACCCAUCACCGCAACCCUCCCUAAAGGCUCUGUAUACACUUUUCCUUUUGCCUGGAGUAAUCCCCACCACGCCAUCCUCUCUGCCCAAGUUUCCAGCUCUGCUGGGACUCCCCAGGUAAGACCUUCCAUGACUACCACCACCACUGCCCUAGACCACACCAAAUACCCCUCUUAACACACUCAACUGACACCAGGGACUCCUCCAUCAAAGGUCUUGGCACAGUUGUCCUUGUACAUAUAUUUGUGUCAUUCUUUGAUGAAUGUAUUUCUCUUUUGUUAGCCUAUAAUCUCCCUAAGGUAGGAACCCUGCUUAUUUUUGCUCACCUUUGUAUCUCCAGCACUUAGCUCAAUGGGAUUCAAAUAUUUGUUGUAAGACUAAGUUAAUGAAUGAAAUGUUAGUGGAGAGACACGAAGAAAUGAUUUCCAGUUUUUUCUUUGUCAGUCCUCACAUGGGGCUGAUACAUGGGUGGGUACAGGCUCUGUCUGUGCACCCAGGAGCAUCCAGCCUUCCACUAAUUAGAGCCUUCAGCAGCUAAUGUGCCCAGGGCUUCUAAUUCCACUGUGGUCCACACGGCAUUCAGAACCCAGGGACAUCAAGCCACUACCAUCCUGCCCUACCACCACCCCCGCAACACCUUUAUCCUGAAUAGCGACAGCCCAGCUUAACCUUGUUUCAGAACAAAUUGCCACCAUAAUUAAAUCCCAAUGCAUUUUGCACAUUUUACCAAGAUACUGCCUUACCAUAUGAAAGAGAAAAUUAGUUUUGAAAUUAAAGCAGAUUGUUAACUAUUUUCAUUGUAAUGUUUCCAUUAAAAUGCCAGAAUUUAUUACAUGUGACCUAGUCCAUUUCAGACAAAAUGCAAUUUAAAGGAGACAGGGUCUGUCUAACUAAAGAAGCAUUUUAGGCAGAGCAUUUUGCCUUGGAUACCACAAUGAAAAUGAAAAGACAAUAAGCAUCACGCCAAAGAAUUAUUUGCAACAAAGCAAAUAAAAGCUCUAUAUUCAUGAAUGGCUUUCACAAAUUCUCAGAAUCCAUAACUGUAUUAUAUUAAAUUUCACUCAGAUGAAACCUGAAUUUUUUUUCUCCUGGCAGAACCUCAAUAUAUAUGUAUUUUCAAUCAUCAGCUAAACACGGCGACCUCUCCUCGGUGCUUGGGCUUGGUUUCCAGGUAGCACACGCAGUGUUGUGACACCCUUGGUUAUGCUGACAAAAAAGUCUGCUUUCUCCUGAGCCAAAUGCGCUGAGUCACGUAAUUGUUGAAGGCAAGAGUGGCUCAGAGGGCUCUUCCAGCCAGCACACUGAACCCACCCCACAGGCAGGAGGAACACAUGCCCUUUCUCGAUUCGCCCACCUGGACAUCACACCCUCUCCUCUUGACCCUCUUAAUGCUGUCCUUGUUACUCUCUUGUGAUGAUUAUUUGUCCCCAGUUAUAGCUGUUUCUAGUUUUCUUCCCCUUUCCCCACUAUACAUUCAAUGUCCUGAGAGUAGGAAUCGCUUUCCUCACCUUGUAAAGUCUUAAGUCCAGGAAGUCUUUGUUGGAUUGAAGCGAAAGACUUCCACAUCAGGAGCCCUUGUCUGUGCCACGUGGACCACUGCACUGGCCUUCAACGUCUGCUUUCCCUUACCGUUUUCCAGCUCCCUCAGAUCCAGCCUCCUCCCAGCCGCCUGGGGAUCUCUCUAAGACACACCUGGCCGUGUCAUUCUCUGGCUUUUAUAUCUCUAAUCUCACUCCCCUCCACCCCCACCAUCCUAGAGCAUAAAACUUCUCCCAUGGCAAACAAGGGUCCUUACAAUCUGACUGCAACCUAAUAUGUAUAGCCUAACUUCCUACUACCCCGCUUUCCCCUAUACCCAUCUCCUUACCACUUUCCAAAAAGUCAGGGACUAAUACACAUCAGAGACUUAGCAUAUGCUGUUCCAUCUACCUGGGACACUGUUCCAUUACCUACCUACCUUGGGAAAUAAUUUUCAUUUUUGGGGAAUAAAUGAAUAGCAGCCAUACUAUUACUAAUCAUGAUAAUAAAGGCUCUAGUUUCCUGAAGUUACAAUGGGGUAUUAUUAAACGCUUUGCUUUCAUUAUCUUAUUUAUUCCUCCAAAAGUUACUACAAGGUAGCUUAUGAUUACCUCCAUUUUCCAGAAGAAUAAUCGAGGCUUGGAGGGAGAUGAGCAAUUUGUCAAAGUCCACAAGUAUGAAGUGGUUGAAGGCUAGAGUUCUUUCAAGGUCUGCCGAACUUAGGAGCUUGGCUCUUAACUCCUAAGCCACACAGCAAGUUGCAAUUUAAAUGUCACCUCUUCUCUGUCACUUUUUCUGAUCAUCCCCUGCCCCUGCCAUGGGAUCAGUCACUCUGUCCUCUGAGGAUUCACAGGGCUUUGUACAGGCUGCUGCUUAUAUUAUCUUGGCACUUCUUUUGUCAGUUUCUCCCUCUCUUCUCCACCAGGGAGCACAGUCCUGGGGGAUGGGAUUGCCGUUUGCAGCUCUGGGCCCCUCCGAGUGGUUAUCACAUUGCCUGAGAUGUUGUAAAUGCUUCAUAGAUGUUUGUUGAAUGAGUUGGAAGAAAAUAUGGAGAUGAAAACAUUAAGAGGCAAAACAGUCCAGGGAGGAGAGAGACAGAUCAGGACGAGGCCAGGAGUCCUGACUUCUGCCCCUGAUUUUCUGCACAAUUUUGAACAAGCACCUUCACCUCCGUCCCCCACCUCUGUCUUUAAAAUGAAACCAUUUGCCUUUCUGACUUCACAGGCUGGUUAGAAGAAAAGAGAAAUUAUAUACAUGAAAAGGCUUCAGUAAGUUUGAGCACCUCAUUAAUUCCUAUUUUUAAAGAAACAGUGUUUGAGGCAUUUUUUUCCUGAUUAUAAAAGGGAAGCAAAAUCAUUUCAGAAAAGGUGAAACUACAGAAAUGUACAAAUCACGUGUCCUUUAAGCAGAAGAUACCAGCAUAAUUUAAGCUGCAGACCAGCGUCCUCAGGUCUGCCCUUGGGAGAUCCACGGCCACAUUUCUUCUUUCCCUGACCUUUAGGGUCCCUGAUGACUUUCUUGUUGUUUUUCUUGUUCUAUUCCUGUAAGCCUUUAUAUUUAAGUCAUAUAACGUUCUCAUGUUAUUAAAACACAUCAUAAAUAUUUAAUAUCUGCACAUAUGCAUCACUGUAUGAAUGUAGCAUAAAUCUAGAAAAAUUGGUGCUGAUUUUAAAGGAUCAUUUGGCAGAAUUGAUUCCUUUGAGUCAGUUAAAAAAGCGAGUGCCCUAGGCAGGGACUACAGGGACCAGAGACCUGCGGCCUGUUUCACUGGCAGCUGUUCCAACAGGGUUUCUCCACUGGCAGCUCCAGCCCUCAACAACAGUCCCAGGGGAGGGCACUCCCUGAUGGAAUUCUCCUCUGGUCUGGGAUUCAAGCCUUUGUGGCCGAUUCACCUCAAGGGGACUUUAUUCACAGCCCAGCCACAGCGACAGUUUAAUGUUACUUCACAAAUCCAGGAGAGCUCCCAAGUCAGGGCCAUAAAAUAGUUGUAAUCUGAUCCAUUACACUUGUGUCAAAGUAGGAGGCCACAGCACUCAAGGAGAACAAUAAAGGCUCUUAUUUACCAAGGGCCUUCUGUGUGUUAAGCCCUUCUUCCCUUUUUCACCAUGGGAUCGACAGGUAACAGCCAUGAUUAGCCCCAUUUUACAGAGAAGGAAACUGAAGAGCAGAACUGUGAAGUGAAGAGACUGUCUGGUUAUGAAAUAAGGCCUCCUCACUCCUUGAGAAAAGGAGGACCAGUUCCCAGCCAAUAAAAUCCUUUCAAACUCCAUACUUUGCGCCCCAAUUCCACAGCCCUUAGAAAGCAAUGUUAGGCAUGAGCGUGCUCAGUCAAUGGCCCGAUGGCAGACAUUCCAAAGUCCUAACGUUUCUAAAAUCCUCCAAGGGCCAGGAAAUAGAACAGGAGAUACCGUGGAGUCUUACCUUUAAGAACACACUUAAAAUCACUUGUUCAAAAUCAGAUCUGUCCAGCUCCACUAACAGAAGCCAAAAGGCACUGAGAUAUUUGGAAGCAAUUUCAUUAGGAUGAGGACGUACUGGUCAUGCACUUCCGAGUACUCGCAGUACAAUUCCCAGACUUGAUCUCUGCCUUGCCCUCUCAUGGUGCUGACAACAUGAGCCCCUGGGUGGCCAGUGGAGGUCCCAGCAUGGGCCUCAGCUUCUGCAGGGCCCAAGCUCACCUCCUGCAGGACCACGAGGCAUGGGUUCCUGAGCCAUGUGCGAAAGUAUCAUGGCAGCAGCUGCAGCGCAUGUAUUAUGUGGAAGCACUCUCUCCUCAGAGCAAAAGUCUGCUGGGCUGGCAGACCAGGGAGAAUACAGGAGCCAUUUUAACAAAUUUAGGAACCUCGUAUUUCCUCAUAAUUUCCAUCUCUGUGGUUCAUCAUGGAACAGAAGGAAGGUUUGGAAAAUAAAACCAGCUCUUUUAAUGCCCUAGCUCUCAAACUUUAAUUUGUCUAAAGGAAUUCUACCACACAGGGCUAGUAAAGUAUUUGGGGAUUUUAUAUAAAAAAGAUCCUAAGGGAAAACCUAACAUGAAACAAAUCUUUUGUCAUCUUGUUUUUUUAUAUCAAUUCUUUUAAAGCUAGACGUUAAUUUGUACUUUCAACUAGUUUGUUCUUUCCAUUCAUUUACACGCAGAGCUUGGAUAAGCUCCUGCUACACGCUGAGACCUGGGCCUACGGACAAGAACCUCAACAAUAAUAGGACACAGUCCCUUUCUUCAAGGAUCUUAGUCUACUGUGGAACAUGGAUAGGCAAGGAGAAAAUUCCCUUACAACACGGCAAUGCCGUAAUUGAAAAAUGGACAGAGAACAAUGAGGUCACCGAAGAAAGACGAUCUUGAGGAAUGAGAGAAGUUCUCACAGACCAGGAGAUGGAGAUAAGGCGAGAAAUGCUGCUCGCAAGCACAAUGCCCUAACACUUCCUCUCCACUUACUCAAAUUGUUCACAUCCUGCGAGAACGAGACCCAGCCCCAUGGAGUCUACCUUGAGAACUGACUUCUACCCGUGUAUGCUAUGGGUUCCUUGGGAGGUGAGACACUAAUCCAUAUUCUGCAUAUAUAUUUUAGGCCAUCAACUCCUUGAUAUGCAAUUACCAAAGUCCCUACUAAAGCAAAGCUUCCCCACCCACGGGACACAUGCGCCAUCCACAUUACCAUAUCAAAGAGCAAGAUCCCCCAAGUUAAUGAUGCCAUCUUUGGUUACCAACUGGAAUUUCAGGUCUCUUAUAUAAUGUUUAUCCUCUUUCGUAAUCUGAUUCACACCCUGAUCUCCUCCUAACACACACAUACACACACAGACACACACACACUCUUUCUCUCAGGAAACUUCUUAAUUAAGUUAAUUUUAUCUCAAGAAAACAAUUUCUUAGACAUGUAUAGCAAAAUGCUUAAGAAUGUGGCCUUUGAACCCUAUAGACCUGGGUAUGGACACUAGCUUUUUCCUUCCCAGGCAUAGGAUGCUGGACAAGGGAAUUAAACCCUCUGAUUGCUCCUUCCUCUUUGAGAGGGGAUGAUAAUUUUUGCCAACCUCGCAGAUUAAAUGUGAUAAUGCACUUAAAGUACCAUGUGUGUCAUACAACAAGUGUUCCGGAAAUGUUCACGGUUAUUAUUACUGACACACGCAUCCUCUGAAGAGAAUGAAUGAAUACUCCCCUGUUCCCUUUCCAUUUGGUCCAGUUGUUCAACAACAAUUCUCUCUCCUCCUUACUCUCCAAGCCUAAUCACAACAUAAGAGUCAUAAUAGUAACACUUUAUAAGGGUAAUGCAAGUAACACUUAGAUGUUAAGGAAAAGAAUGAUGGUUUGGAUGUAAAUAAAAUAGAUAGCAGAAAUCUUUCAUUCCUCAGCAGACAUUCACUGAGGUCAUCCCGUCUGCCGGGAACCCGUGUUUCCUGGAGAUGCAGAAGUGAUGAAGACAGACAUUGUUCUGCACUGCCGGGAAGGACGCUCUUACAACAGUAUGAUGAGUCCGUGAGGGAGGUGCAGGCUGAAGAGAGCAGAGGGGUCUGAACUUGGUUGAGUGGAAUGUGGGUCAAGAUGUGCCUCCCAGGCCAAGACAUGAAGGAGGAGGAGGAGUUUGUGAGGCAGAAGGUCUUGAAAAGAAAGGUAAGAGGAGUGUGUUCUCGACAGAUGGACUGGCAUUCAGGAGGGCACAAAGGAGAAAAGGAGCAUUCUUGGACUGACAGAGCAGUUUGUUGAGUUUGCACAAGAGUAGGAGGUAGGAGAGAGAGGCUGGGCCAGACUGGGCGCCCUGAGGGCUGUGGCAGGUAGCAGGACCUGCAUCCUCGGCCGCCGGAGAGCCACUGAUGCUUCCUCACCAGGGGAAGCCUACUUUAAAAGACCAUGUUGAUGACAGUAGGAAAAAUUCAAAAGGGAGGAGAGAAGAGACAGUGUAUCUCAUUAGAGGAUGUGGCAAUGGCAGCAGUGAGAGAUGGUCACUGCCAGAGCCAGGCUAGUGGCAUCGGAGGUGAGAGAGGCAUCUGGAUUUGAGGGCCUUUAGGAACUAGAAUGCACAGAGCCUGGAGAGGAGCUGGAUGUGGAAGGAGGAGACUCCCUCUCCCUCCGGAUCCCUUUAGAACCUCCACGUCUCCAUUCUGGCUUUGUCUUCUGUUACACCUGCUGUUUCAUAAAUGCCAACACUUAAGUAAAGCAAAAUUUCUUGUUCUGGUUUUAUAGGGUUUUAUGGUUCAAUUACCAGAAUUGAAGAGUUAAUCCUAAAGAUAUCUUUGUUAUCACAAAACCACCAAACAUUCUGUGCCAUUUUAUAGGUUUCUGAAAGUUGCCACAUAGAUCAUCCCACUAGAUUCCAUGGUCUAGGCAGGGUAGCAGCUGGGUUUAAGGUGUCCGUUAUUACUUGCAAAAUAUUUGAUGCCUAAAGAACAACUUAAGAUAUUAAUAGUGUAGGAGUGCAUAAUAUGCUAUUUAAGAGCAGGGACUCUAGAAACAGGACUGCCUGAGCUCAAAUCCUUGUUCUUCCACUAACAAGCUGUGUGAUUAUAUAUAUAUAUAUAUUUUUUUUUUGAGGAAGAUUAGCCCUGAGCUAACA
This is a non-coding RNA of Equus caballus (horse), 21493 nucleotides long. The record is from RefSeq and is a predicted model, not a curated record. Lineage: Eukaryota; Metazoa; Chordata; Mammalia; Perissodactyla; Equidae.